RNAcentral lists this transfer RNA (73 nucleotides) under Nuclearia simplex. RNAcentral's name for it is "tRNA-Leu". It matches the Rfam family "tRNA". From Rfam's summary of the family: Transfer RNA (tRNA) molecules are approximately 80 nucleotides in length. Lineage: Eukaryota; Rotosphaerida; Nucleariidae. The record is from RNAcentral.
AUCCGCUUGAUGGAAUGGUAGACAUGAGAGACUUAAAAUCCCUAUAUUAUAGGUUCAAAUCCUAUAGUGGAUA